RNAcentral lists this ribosomal RNA (460 nucleotides) under uncultured bacterium. RNAcentral's name for it is "bacterial SSU rRNA". It matches the Rfam family "Bacterial small subunit ribosomal RNA", at positions 30 to 504 of the family's 1533-position model. The record is from RNAcentral.
UGAACGUUGGCGGCGUGCCUAAUACAUGCAAGUCGAACGAGAAGCCUAAACUUCGGUUAAGGUGGAGAGUGGCGCACGGGUGAGUAACACAUGGCUGACCUGCCCUUCAGAGGAGGACAACCACUGGAAACGGUGGCUAAUACUCCAUAUGCUCACGGGAAUUAGAACACUGUGAGGAAAGUUCCGGCGCUGAAGGAGGGGGCUGUGGCCCAUCAGCUAGUUGGUGUGGUAAUGGCACACCAAGGCGAUGACGGGUAGGGGACCUGAGAGGGUGAUCCCCCACAUGGGCACUGAGACACGGGCCCAACUCCUACGGGAGGCAGCAGUAAGGGAUAUUGCGACAAUGGGCGAAAGCCUGACGCAGCAACGCCGCGUGUGGGAUGACGGCCUUCGGGUUGUAAACCACUUUUCUGUGGGAAGAGGAAGGACGGUACCACAGGAAUAAGUCUCGGCUAACUAC